This 301-nucleotide ribosomal RNA is filed under the name uncultured bacterium. Its description in RNAcentral is "partial 16S ribosomal RNA". It matches the Rfam family "Bacterial small subunit ribosomal RNA", at positions 509 to 807 of the family's 1533-position model. The record is from RNAcentral.
CAGUCGCCGCGGUAAUACGUAGGGUGCGAGCGUUAAUCGGAAUUACUGGGCGUAAAGCGUGCGCAGGCGGUUCGUUAAGACAGAUGUGAAAUCCCCGGGCUUAACCUGGGAACUGCAUUUGUAACUGGCGAGCUAGAGUAUGGCAGAGGGGGGUAGAAUUCCACGUGUAGCAGUGAAAUGCGUAGAGAUGUGGAGGAAUACCGAUGGCGAAGGCAGCCCCCUGGGCCAAUACUGACGCUCAUGCACGAAAGCGUGGGGAGCAAACAGGAUUAGAUACCCCUGUAGUCCCUGUCUCUUAUAC